GCCCUGGUAGUUCAACGGAUAGAAUAAGAGUUUCCUAAACUCCAGAUCGGGGUUCGAUUCCCCGCCGGGGUA
RNAcentral lists this transfer RNA (72 nucleotides) under Bacteroidaceae bacterium. RNAcentral describes it as "tRNA-Arg". It matches the Rfam family "tRNA". From Rfam's summary of the family: Transfer RNA (tRNA) molecules are approximately 80 nucleotides in length. Their secondary structure includes four short double-helical elements and three loops (D, anti-codon, and T loops). Lineage: Bacteria; Pseudomonadati; Bacteroidota; Bacteroidia; Bacteroidales; Bacteroidaceae. The record is from RNAcentral. RNAcentral also lists the same sequence under 1 other name.